GAUGAACGCUAGCGACAGGCUUAACACAUGCAAGUCGAGGGGCAGCAUAAAAGUAGCAAUACUUUGGUGGCGACCGGCGCACGGGUGAGUAACGCGUAUGCAACCUACCUAUCAGAGGGGGAUAACCCGGCGAAAGUCGGACUAAUACCGCAUAAAACAGGGGCACCGCAUGGUGCUAUUUGUAAAAAUUAUUGCUGAUAGAUGGGCAUGCGUUCCAUUAGGUAGUUGGAGAGGUAACGGCUCACCAAGCCUACGAUGGAUAGGGGAACCUGAGAGGUUUGGUCCCCCACACUGGUACUGAGACACGGACCAGACUCCUACGGGAGGCAGCAGUGAGGAAUAUUGGUCAAUGGGCGAGAG
Molecule: ribosomal RNA, 360 nt
Filed under: uncultured bacterium
Lineage: Bacteria
Description: bacterial SSU rRNA
Rfam family: Bacterial small subunit ribosomal RNA
Source: RNAcentral